CGACAUCCAUCGGGACUCUUCGCCCACCGAACGAAAAACCACCAUGAAGUUGGCCUUAAGUUCAGUUGGGAUUACCCGUGGAACUUAACCAUAUCAUUAACCGGAGGAAAGGAACCCACCGGGGAUGGCCCCGGAACGGCGGAGGGAACCGCCAGAACUUCAGAUUGGAAUUGGUGUUAUUUUUUUGGCACGAGUUGUAGAGUGUAGGCGGGAGUCUUUGUGGAGCACGGUGUCCAAGUCCCUUGGAACAGGGCGCCUGAGAGGGUGAGAGCCCCGUGGGGUGCCGUGCGAAGCUCUGAGGCCCUGCUGACGAGUCGAGUUGUUUGGGAAUGCAGCUCCAAGUGGGUGGUAAAUUCCAUCUAAGGCUAAAUACUGGCGAGAGACCGAUAGCGAACAAGUACUGUGAAGGAAAGAUGAAAAGCACUUUGAAAAGAGAGUGAAACAGCACGUGAAAUUGUUGAAAGGGAAGGGUAUUGGGCCCGACAUGGGGAGUGCGCACCGCUGUCUCUUGUAGGCGGCGCUCUGGGCGCUCUCUGGGCCAGCAUCGGUUCUUGCUGCGGGAGAAUGGGUGCCGGAAAGUGGCUCUUCGGAGUGUUAUAGCCGGCGCCAGAUACCGCGUGCGGGGACCGAGGACUGCGGCUUCUGUCUCCGAUG
This 654-nucleotide ribosomal RNA is filed under the name Pichia membranifaciens. RNAcentral's name for it is "LSU rRNA". It matches the Rfam family "Eukaryotic large subunit ribosomal RNA", at positions 1 to 625 of the family's 3401-position model. Lineage: Eukaryota; Fungi; Ascomycota; Pichiomycetes; Pichiales; Pichiaceae. The record is from RNAcentral.